GGNGGGGAUGUACCAGAAGUAGGUAGGCUAACCGCAAGGGGGCCGCUUACCACGGUGCGUUUCGUGACUGGGGUG
This 75-nucleotide ribosomal RNA is filed under the name uncultured bacterium. RNAcentral describes it as "partial 16S ribosomal RNA". The record is from RNAcentral.